Molecule: non-coding RNA, 135 nt
Organism: Triticum urartu
Lineage: Eukaryota; Viridiplantae; Streptophyta; Magnoliopsida; Poales; Poaceae
Source: Rfam
CACGUAUUCCCUCCGUUCCAAAUUACUUGUCUUGGAUUUGUCUAGAUAUGGAAGUAUCUAGCACUAAAAUGAGUUUAGAUACAUCCGUAUCUAGACAAAUCAAAGAUAAGUAAUUUAGAACAGAGGGAAUACCAA